This 750-nucleotide ribosomal RNA is filed under the name bacterium LAM6. RNAcentral describes it as "bacterial SSU rRNA". It matches the Rfam family "Bacterial small subunit ribosomal RNA", at positions 76 to 820 of the family's 1533-position model. The record is from RNAcentral.
UAGCUUGCUAGGAGGCGUCGAGCGGCGGACGGGUGAGUAAUGCAUAGGAAUCUGCCCGGUAGUGGGGGAUAACUUGAGGAAACUCAAGCUAAUACCGCAUACGCCCCAAGGGGGAAAGCAGGGGAUCUUCGGACCUUGCGCUAUCGGAUGAGCCUAUGUCGGAUUAGCUAGUUGGUGAGGUAAUGGCUCACCAAGGCCGCGAUCCGUAGCUGGUCUGAGAGGAUGAUCAGCCACAUCGGGACUGAGACACGGCCCGAACUCCUACGGGAGGCAGCAGUGGGGAAUAUUGGACAAUGGGCGAAAGCCUGAUCCAGCCAUGCCGCGUGUGUGAAGAAGGCCUUCGGGUUGUAAAGCACUUUCAGCGAGGAAGAACGCUUGUGGGCUAAUACCCCGCAAGAAGGACAUCACUCGCAGAAGAAGCACCGGCUAACUCCGUGCCAGCAGCCGCGGUAAUACGGAGGGUGCAAGCGUUAAUCGGAAUUACUGGGCGUAAAGCGCGCGUAGGCGGCUUGAUAAGCCGGUUGUGAAAGCCCCGGGCUCAACCUGGGAACGGCAUCCGGAACUGUCAGGCUAGAGUGCAGGAGAGGAAGGUAGAAUUCCCGGUGUAGCGGUGAAAUGCGUAGAGAUCGGGAGGAAUACCAGUGGCGAAGGCGGCCUUCUGGACUGACACUGACGCUGAGGUGCGAAAGCGUGGGUAGCAAACAGGAUUAGAUACCCUGGUAGUCCACGCCGUAAACGAUGUCGACUAGC